AUGAUCCAUAGCUUCGUUUCCAGAGUUAGUGUUGUCAUUAAGGUCAAUGAUGAUGUUGGCCACUAUUUUCAAACAACGAAGGGAUUGUGACAGGGUGACUCGAUAUCGCCCAUGUUAUUCAAUAUAGUGGCGGAUAUGCUUGCAGUCAUGAUUGAGCAUGCCAAUACUGAUGGAAAAAUUGAUGGGGUAGUAAAUCAUCUUGUUGAUGGUGGUCUUUCUAUACUUCAGUAUGCCGAUGAUACGAUUCUCUUCAUGGAUCAUGACCUCGUGAAAGCGAGAAAUCUGAAAUUAAUUUUGUAA
RNAcentral lists this ribosomal RNA (300 nucleotides) under Triticum aestivum (bread wheat). Its description in RNAcentral is "partial small subunit ribosomal RNA". Lineage: Eukaryota; Viridiplantae; Streptophyta; Magnoliopsida; Poales; Poaceae. The record is from RNAcentral.